Molecule: ribosomal RNA, 202 nt
Filed under: uncultured bacterium
Lineage: Bacteria
Description: partial 16S ribosomal RNA
Rfam family: Bacterial small subunit ribosomal RNA
Source: RNAcentral
UACGGGGGGAGCAAGCGUUGUUCGGAUUUACUGGGCGUAAAGGGCGCGUAGGCGGUCGUGACAAGUCACUUGUGAAAUCUCCGGGCUUAACUCGGAACGGUCAAGUGAUACUGUCGUGCUAGAGUACAGAAGGGGCAACUGGAAUUCUCGGUGUAGCGGUGAAAUGCGUAGAUAUCGAGAGGAACACCCUGCGGCAAGGCGG